GCUGGCUCUUCUGAAAGGAGGGGACAAAUGACAGUCUAUCAAACAGCAUGCUUUCAAAGAAAGAGGAGACCUGUUCCAGAACUGCAGCUUCAGAGGCUCUUUUAACAACAUAAGCAAAACUGGGAGCCAACCUCAUUUUUUCCCCCUGGCUGUAAUGAACACACAGCUUAGCUACAGCAGUCUCCCACCCCCAGUAAAAUGAACUGGAAUUACAAAGCUUAUGAAGAAAACAAGUGUCAUUUUUUUCCCUCUAUCUUUUUCCUUUCUUUUUAAUUGUUUUUUUUUUCUUUCUUUCCUAUUUCUUUCUCUUUUUUUGGAUCGAAAGUAAGACCAAAAAAUGUCAAAAGGGAAAGGAGAGGGGUUCUGAGAUCAGUCUCAAAUCUCAGAAGAAGACUGCGGGAAAUGGUGCCAAAUUGAAGUGUUUAUCCAUGGCCUCAAGCGGAGGCGGCGCCGGCUUCUUUGUACCACUCGACAUGCUCUGAUCUCAACCUGGUGGCCAGCGGCUGUCAGCACGGAGGCCUGGGCAUGGUGCUGCUUCCCUGGGUGAUGUCCACCAGGACCUCCAACAUCACCCGCUCAUUAGGAUGUCUCUGAACAGCUGUCAUGUGGUGCUGACUUUUUGUCACAGCUGAUAGUGAAACUUGUCCCCUCAAGCUACUGAUGACACAUUCACUUUGCACCUUCACAGAGAGAGAAAGGGGAGAUCUGCCUUUUGAAGCAGAAAAAGCAACUGCUGCAAACCUGCAGUGUGUUUAAUGGAAGAGGACGUCUGGUUUCCAUGUAACGCUAAUAAAGUAUUCAGUACACUGGCAGGAGGAGCCUGGAAUGGAUGUGGGUGGUGAGGGUUGUGGGAAGCAGAGAGGAGACAGAGGGGUGUUAGAGGAUGGCCAGCUUGUGAUAGCAGGGAAAUCAAAGCCUUGUAAAGAGGAAAAUAUUUUAAAUGUUAUUUCAGUGUUUCAUCAAAAAAGAUUUUGCAAAGCUAUUUGUGACUGACUCUUUGGAGAUCUUGGUAUAAGGUUAUACUUAUACAUGUUUAAAGCAAUUCCAAGAUUUAUCCAUUUAGAAGAAAAAGUGUAAAACUUAAAAAAAAAAUGAAAAAGAAAAAAUGUAUUUUCUCCUUGUCUUCAUAAAAGAAGGCAGAAGAAAAAAAAAAACAAAAAACAGAGCAAGCAAAUAACCUUUUUUUUUUUUUUUUUCCUCCCUGAAAAUAACCCUAGAAACACCCAGCACAGCAUAAAAAAUCAUCAAAUGCUUUUGAACUAAAAGCCAUUCUUUUCUUGGGAAAACAUGUAUAGACAAAAAUACCCAAGCUGCCAAACUGAUAAAUACAAUUGACCUGCUGUGAUGUUAACUUAGAGCUCAUCGAUUUCAUUUCUGAUGUGCCACAGGAACAUUCAUUUGCACUGAGUGCUAGCUAAGACCUUUUCAUUAGUGCUGCAGCAGCUGGAUUGUAGAUUUGGUCAAUGCGGAUGGGUAUGGAAUGACUUGGGCUCUUCUACCCCAGCUUUUGUCUGGCCAGAUGUGAGCUUAUGACAAUAGGCUGUUCCUGUGAAAGGCCAGGCAUGGUAGCCCAGGUGCAGUGCUGGAGUAGAGCUGGGGUCAAGCUUUGUGUUAUGAUUGGAUACUGAAAAAAAAGAAAUAGGUAAUUUGAGUUAAACCUGGUUAUUUACUCAAAACAAGCUCUCAUAAAGCCAUUUUCGAGAUUGUAUCAGAGCAUCUUCCAGUAAUGAAUUAUUCAGUUUAAUCAAUUUUUCACUCUCUCCUGCAUGAUUAGGAAACUGGGAUCUGGGACACAAAAUUGAGAGUGAUCCAUGGAGCAUCUCUAACUUUGAUAAGACCAGCCCUACUGGGAAUUUUCUUCAUUUAAAAACUGGGAGAUAAAGGGAUUGAGGCCGAUGCUGCUGUAGCUGAAAAGGGCGUCUCAUUCCAUACAGUUCAUAGAGACGCUGAGUCCAUUCCAUCCAUUCCAUAUGUCCUACAUCUCUGUGCUGGCAGUGAGAUAGUGAGGUCUGGGAAUGGGGAAUACUGGGAAUACUACUCUUCUCUUCUCUUCUCUUCUCUUCUCUUCUCUUCUCUUCUCUUCUCUUCUCUUCUCUUCUCUUCUCUUCUCUUCUCUUCUCUUCUCUUCUCUUCUCUUCUCUUCUCUUCUCUUCUCUUCUCUUCUCUUCUCUUCUCUUCUCUUCUCUUCUCUUCUCUUCUCUUCUCUUCUCUUCUCUUCUCUUCUCUUCUCUUCUCUCUUCUUUUACUUUAUUUUCUUUCUCCUCCCCAGAUAAAAUUGUCUACCUGCAAAAUGAAUCAUCUGAAUUUAGGUUUUCCUUUAAAGUUUUAUGGGCUGCAUAUUUGCUCCCCAUCCUUUCUUUAAUUUUGCUAGUGAGGAGCCUGUCUGUACCAUGCAACUCACAACUGCCUGGGAGACCUGUGACAAGUAAAUUUCAGUCUCUCAGUAGAGCUGGUAUUCUUAGAGCUGCAGGAGCAGUCAUCAUGAAGGGGAAAGCUGUGAACGCCAAUAAAUUAUUGAAGAAAGCAGGAGAAAUAUUUCCUUCUGUUGACACAUUGGCAUUCACCUUUGGGAAUGUAAUCAUGGGAAAGGUAGGCAAUCUUUUGUCAUAGAGAUCUUUUGCUCGGAGAAUUCAGUCUUUUUAAAACCUUAGGAGGGAGCCUGCAAGCCCUCAACAUGGAAGGGGUAUUCAAGUUAUAGGAUGUCUUCAGGCAGACAAGUUUCUCAGAAAUGACAGUGAAACUGAAUUAAGUCUGCAACACAUUAAAAUUACUUGGUGAUAAAAAGGGAGGUUAGUGAGGUAGAGAGUAAACCCCUCCAGCUCCCUGACACCCCGGGACAGUUUCCAAUCAGGAGGGGGAUUGUUUUCUACGAACAAAACAAGACAGCAUUAGUACAAGACAGAGCAUAAACAUGGCAAAAUUUAGAGUUCAGAGAAGAACAGAAGAUGGAAGCCAACCUCUUGGUGUAAGGCAGAGGAAACAGCAAGGACAUGCCUACAAGAUCAACAUUUCCUUUUGGGUUGUGACAUGGGGGAAGGACUGGGGCAGUUCUUGAGAGCUGGGGUGGUGCAGGAGUGGUUUCUUCUAGCCUGAAAAUCUGAUUCUACCUCUUUCUUCCAUCACUGAAACAAAGGAACCUACCCAGGCCUGUGAACAUAGAUUUGUCUGUCUGAAUUUCAAAUUUUGCUUGGAAAGCCAUCAAAUUAGCACUGAUGUUUUAUUCCAACAUCAGAAACGGCAGGGAAAAAUACCCAGGAGCUCGUUGGAUUUAAAUCCACAGAAUCAUCUCCAGUUUUGUUUAGACGAGAUGAGUGAAUAACCCCCCUUCUCAGCAUCAUAUUUGGCUCAAAUCACCAAUUUACUGGUUUACAAAAAUCUAAAACUGCCCCUCCGGCAAAUUAAGGGAUUACGUCAAUCACUCAAGUCCAUUCUACCUGACAACAGCACGCAGCAACAGGGCAAAAGGUUUGAUGCUCUGCUGGAAUGUGAUAAGGAGAAAAUGCCAAAUGACACAUAGGCAAAGUUAUUACCAGCGAGAUGAAGACAAACUGGAGGGAGUUCAGAGAAGUGCAACAAAAAUGAUUAGAGAGCUGGAGGGGUUGAUUUAGAAGGAAAGUUUACAAGAACAACUGGCAAUAUGCACAGCAGGGCUGAGCAACAUCUGAGGGGGGAGAGAGAGCCAGUUGCAAACAUCUGAACAGUGCAAACACCCAGGGAGGAACACAAUUACCCAAGGGGGAAAUAACUAAGAUAAUAGGUUGAAAUUAGGAGAAAGAGAUAAACAUCAAAAUAACUUCUCAGUGAAAAGACUGUGGAAUAACCUACUAUGGGAAGACAUGGAAGUCCAAGCCAAGCAGGCUAUAAAUUCCUUCCCACAGCCCCUGCAGAUACAAAAGUCAGCCACAGAUAACUUUGAAAACAAUUUCUAAGCAACAAAUGUCAGAACUUCUGCAAGAAACCAGGUGUGAGAAGGUGUUUAGAACUGAUGAUUUCCAGAUAACUCUACUAGUUUUCUUGCUGUUCAAAUGCACAAUGGGGAGGAGUUUGAAAAGGCUCUUGCUUUCUGUUUCCUGGGUGAAAUGACUGCACUGGAAACCUCCAAAAGUGCAGUUGUGGCAAUCAAGACAUUGCCCACUCAUCGACAAAUAGUUUUCCAGUUGAGAUAGUUGGUUUAAAUCUCCCUCAGGUUUGGAGUGACUGGAAAUCAACACCAGAUAAUGGCUGUUUGGUAGUAGAUGUGACAUGAGUUAAUGCACUCACUUGAAUUUCUAGUGGAUAUUGGACAUGUGCUCACAUUACAAAUGCUUUGAACAGCAUGAUCAGCAUUAAAUUAACAUCUACACUGACAAUCUUGCCAAAGAAAUCCAGAAGGAGAUGGACAUUAGUAAUGAACUGCACGUUCACCUUUGGAGUGAAGUCAUUAGCAAGGUAAACUUUACCUCAUGGGCUCUGAACCUCGUCUCCUCUACUGUAUUUCCUAACUCCUGGAUGGGAUGUCAAUUUGCAAAGCAGAUUAUUUAGCAUAUUUCCUCAGCAUACAAGAAACUGCUACCAUUAAAGAAAAUUUACAUUACAGAACGGUUGUUUAUUAGACAUUAUCAUUAAUUAAUAAGUAUUUUUAGCUGCUUCUUGACAAGGAAGGUGCAUGGCAUGCAUGUGACACAAUUCAUCUGGUUUUAUAGAAGGUAGUAAUAGCUGCAAUGAGUAUAGAAGUAGCACAGGACUCUCUUGCAGAGUGGUAUUUGAAGGUCUGGCUAAGCAAAGCCACUUAGGCCAUUUCUAGUUUAUUGUUGUUACACUUUGGUAUGGCUUUCUAGUAAUUUAUAGGGGUGUUUGUUGAGUUCAUGAGCUCUUGAGACCUGCAUCCAAUAAAAUAGUGAUGUACUUUCUCUUGACUGAAGGCAGAAGCAUAUAUCAUUGCAUGCAGUGGGUCUGAUAUCAUUUUAUGCUGGAUGGGGAAAAAGGCUGUGAAGCUCUGUAGCUUAGUAAAAGAAAAGGAAAAGUAAAGAAAAAUGGCAAUAAAGGACAUCACUUUGUGCAGGGCACUAUUUUGUUUCUAGAUUCUUUAGCUUCAUACAUUAGCAAGCCGGGAAUUUGGUGGGUUAAUCCUACCCUUGACUGUAAGAUCCCAUAUUAGUUAACGAUCUCUUUCUGAACUUGAUAUAAAGCCACAUAAGUUAAUGAGCAGCUAUUAGACAAAUCAUUAUUUAUAUACUUAUAUAUAUUCCCAUAAUUUUUCAUCUGUAUUUUAACUUUGCCAUGACAUAGGGUGCUAAUCCUUCAUGCUCUUGCAGUGUUAACAACAAUAUCUUUUCCCAUUUAAUUAAUAUUUUUAAAAGUUGCCUCAUCCUCCACCAUUAACAUCUUCCCCUCUAUCAAACAAUAAGUGAUAUGGAUCAGUCUUAGUCGAUUAGCUGUAAAGAAGAGGAAAAAUCACUAAGGCAGCAAGGCUUAUUCUUAAAGUAACUUCUCUCUUUCCACCUACUUGUCUAUUCUUAGACUACUGUAAACAUAAAAUGGUCAGGCAGCACAUAGAACAGUCCUAUCAUGUAGGAAAAAAAAAAAAAAUUGGUUCCUAGUGUGACUGUGCACCUUUGCAUAAAAUAAAUAAAUAAAAAUCUCUGUCAUGGAAAAGACAAAGGUAGCAUUGCUUUUACUGGUUUUCUCAGAAAUCUAACUUCCCUUCCCUUCCCUUCCCUUCCCUUCCCUUCCCUUCCCUUCCCUUCCCUUCCCUUCCCUUCCCUUCCC
Long non-coding RNA from Gallus gallus (chicken), 5748 nucleotides. The record is from Ensembl. NCBI's taxonomy places the organism in Eukaryota, Metazoa, Chordata, Aves, Galliformes, Phasianidae.